This 354-nucleotide ribosomal RNA is filed under the name uncultured bacterium. Its description in RNAcentral is "partial 16S ribosomal RNA". It matches the Rfam family "Bacterial small subunit ribosomal RNA", at positions 527 to 881 of the family's 1533-position model. The record is from RNAcentral.
GUAGGGUGCAAGCGUUAAUCGGAAUUACUGGGCGUAAAGCGUGCGCAGGCGGUUCUGUAAGAUAGAUGUNAAAUCCCCGGGCUCAACCUGGGAAUUGCAUAUAUNACUGCAGGACUUGAGUUUGUCAAAGGAGGGUGGAAUUCCACGUGUANCAUUGAAAUGCGUAAAUNUNUGGAAAAACACCGAUGGCNAAGGCAGCCNUCUGGGACAUGACUGACGCUCAUGCNCGAAANCGUGGGGAGCAAACAGGAUUANAUACCCUGGUANUCCACNCCCUAAACNAUGUCUACUAGUUGUUGNGGAUGAUAGUCCUUGGUAACGCAACUNACGCGUGAAGUAUACCGCCUGGGGAGU